GGCCGAAAUAAGCGAGUGGUUAGCAUUUCGCACUGCCAUUCGCAAGGCUAAGGUUCAAGUCCUGGUUCAGCCA
RNAcentral lists this transfer RNA (73 nucleotides) under Ceratitis capitata (Mediterranean fruit fly). RNAcentral describes it as "tRNA-Gly". Lineage: Eukaryota; Metazoa; Arthropoda; Insecta; Diptera; Tephritidae. The record is from RNAcentral.